GCCCUCUCCGAUGUGGAGAUCAUGUCCAAGAUCGUCGCCGGCCUCGACCUGGAAUAUAAUCCAGUCGUGUCGGCGCUCGCGGCUCGGGUGGAGCCUGUCACGGUUCAGGAUCUAUACAGUCAGCUCCUGAGUUUUGAUG
Molecule: non-coding RNA, 139 nt
Organism: Hordeum vulgare subsp. vulgare (domesticated barley)
Lineage: Eukaryota; Viridiplantae; Streptophyta; Magnoliopsida; Poales; Poaceae
Source: Rfam